This 1796-nucleotide ribosomal RNA is filed under the name Aggregata octopiana. RNAcentral describes it as "SSU rRNA". It matches the Rfam family "Eukaryotic small subunit ribosomal RNA". The record is from RNAcentral. Lineage: Eukaryota; Apicomplexa; Marosporida; Aggregatidae.
ACCUGGUUGAUCCUGCCAGUAGUUAUAUGUUUGUUUUAAAGAUUAAGCCAUGUAUGUUUAAGUAUUAGUUUUUAUAUGAUGAAACUGCGAAGAGCUUAUUAAAACAGUUAUAGUUUAUUUGAUAAGUGAAACAAAAUUUUAAAUGGAUAAUUAUAGAAAUUCUAUGGUUAAUACAUGUAUAAUUCUUAAAUGAAAUAGUUAUAUUUAUAAAUAAAAAAAGUAAUGUAUGUUGUUACAUACGUGUAAGUUGAAUAAUUUUAAAUAAAUGAAUUUUAAAAUAAAAUUAAUUAAAUAUGUAUUUGACCUAUCAGCUUUAAUAAUAAGACCUUGGCUUAAUAUAAUAGUGACGGGUAACAGAGGAUUAAGGUUUAAUUCUGGAGAGGGAGCUUGAGAAAUAGUUAUUACAUUUAAGGAAGGCAGCAGGCGUGUAGAUUAUCCAAUUUUAAUGAAAAGAGGUAGUGAUAAGGAAUAACAAUGCAAAACAUAAUAAUGUGUUUUGUAAUUGGAAUAAGAUAUAUAUAAUAUUUUAUAAAUUUUAAUUAAAGGGCAAGUCUGGUGGCCAGCAGCCGCGGUAAUUCUAGUUUUAUAAUAUAUAUAUUAAUAUUGUUGUAGUUAAAAAGCUCGUAGUUGAUGUUUUGAUAAUAAUAAAAGAAUUAUUUAUUUUUGUGUAAGUGUAUUUUAUAAUUGUUAGAUUUAUAUAAAAAGUUUUAUAUGUUUAUAUAGUAAUUUUAUAAUUUUAUUUUGAGGAAAUUAAAGUGUUUAAAGCAUGAAUGUUUGGUUGAAUGAUGUAGUAUGGAAUAAUAAAAAUGUAAUAGAAUUUGUUUUAAUGGUUGGUUUUAAAAUGUUAUUAAAUUAUUUUUAAGAAUAGUUGGGGGUAUUUGUAUUUAACAAGCAAGAGGUGAAAUUCUUAGAUUUGUUGAAGAUAAAUUAUUGCGAAAGCAUUUAUUAAAGAUGUUUUUUUAAAUUAAGAACAAAAGUUAAGGGAUCGAAGACGAUCAGAUACCGUCGUAGUCUUAAUUAUAAACUAUGCUGAUUAGGGAUUAGAUGUUUUUAAUUAAAUGAAUUGUUUAGUAUUUUUAAAGAAAUCAAAGUUUUUAGGUUUUGGGGGGAGUAUAGUUGCAAAGUUGAAACUUAAAGGAAUUGACGGAAAGGCACUACCAGAAGUGGAGUAUGCGGUUUAAUUUGAUUCAACACGGGAAAUCUUAUUAGGUCCAGACAUAGGAAGGAUUGAUAGAUUAAUAGUUUUUUUUUGAUUUUAUGGGUGGUGGUGCAUGGUUGUUCUUAGUUGGUGGAGUGAUUUGUUUGGUUAAUUCCGUUAACGAACGAGACUUUAAUAUAUUAAGUAGAGAAAUAAUGUAUGAUAUAUUUUUACUUUUGAUGAUUUUUUGAUGGAUUUUAUAUAUAUAAUUUAAGGUAGUUUAAGGUAAUAACAGGUCUGGAAUGCCCUUAGAUGUUUUAGGCUACACGCGCGCUACAUUAAUGUGAUUAAAUAGUUUAUAAUUAUAGUUGUUAAAAUAUAGUAAUCUUAUAAUAUACUUUGUAAUUGGGAUAGUGUAUUGGAAUUAUUAUUCUUAAACGAGGAAUUUUUAGUAAAUACAAGUCAUAAACUUAUAUUGAAUAUGUACCUGCCUUUUGUACACACCGCCCGUCGCUCUUACCGAUCGAAUAAAUUGGUGAAUGAAUUAGAAUGUGUGUAAAUUAUUUGAUUUUUUGAUAUAUGUAAAAAUUUAUAAAUUUUAUUAUUUAGAGGAAGGAGAAGUCGUAACAAGGUUUCCGUAGGUGAACCAGCGGAAGAA